This 301-nucleotide ribosomal RNA is filed under the name uncultured bacterium. Its description in RNAcentral is "partial 16S ribosomal RNA". It matches the Rfam family "Bacterial small subunit ribosomal RNA", at positions 509 to 807 of the family's 1533-position model. The record is from RNAcentral.
CAGUAGCCGCGGUAAUACGAAGGGGGCUAGCGUUACUCGGAAUUACUGGGCGUAAAGGGCGCGUAGGCGGCGCUCCAAGUUAGGCGUGAAAGUCCUGGGCUCAACCUGGGAACUGCGCUUAAGACUGGAGUGCUUGAGGAUGGAAGAGGGUUGUGGAAUUCCCAGUGUAGAGGUGAAAUUCGUAGAUAUUGGGAAGAACACCGGUGGCGAAGGCGGCAACCUGGUCCAUUACUGACGCUGAGGCGCGACAGCGUGGGGAGCAAACAGGAUUAGAUACCCGAGUAGUCCCUGUCUCUUAUAC